Long non-coding RNA from Myxocyprinus asiaticus (Chinese sucker), 10977 nucleotides. RefSeq lists it as uncharacterized. NCBI's taxonomy places the organism in Eukaryota, Metazoa, Chordata, Actinopteri, Cypriniformes, Catostomidae. The record is from RefSeq and is a predicted model, not a curated record. The transcript is spliced from 2 exons.
UAGCUGCCCCAUUUUUUAUUAAAUAACUCUAGUAUAUAUAAUAUAUAUAAUAAUUCUAUAUGACAUCUAUUCAAAUGUCGCUAUCCUGCCCAUCUCUGUGUGCCAUUCUUAAAAUGAGGGCGCUCCAGCCGACUUCUAUCCCCUAAAAAUGACGUGUCUGCUGAUCAUAACACUGGCUAGGAUCCAAUUUUUAUAUAUUUAUCCCCUAUAUUAAUGACCGCUCCAUCGCCUAAAAUACAAAGUCUGGGGCAAAAUGAAAUUUGAGUGCCCAAUAUGUCACACAUAAAUCUCUGAACCCUCAACCUAAAUUCUUGGAUCUUAACACACCAUAAAAAAACAUGGGUUGAAUCCUCAUCUUCUGAUUGGCAUCGCCAGCAGGUGGGUGUGUCUUUAAGACCAAGCCUAUACAAUCUAGAGGGGGUCCAAUAGAAUCGAUAUAAAAUAUUAAAUUGCAUAAGGCGCACCCUUGCAUCUCUAGAUGUAGACUUGAUGUUUUUUAGAAUCCUAGCCCACACUCCCUCCUCCAAUACCAAGUUUAAAUCUUUCUCCCAUAAUCUCUUGAGACGAAUAAUAAAUAAUAAACAGGGGGCCUGGGUAGCUCAGUGGUAAAGACGCUGGCUACUACCCCUGGAAUUCGCUAGUUCGAAUCCCAGGGCAUGCUGAGUGACUCCAGCCAAGUCUCCUAAGCAACCAAAUUGGCCCGGUUGCUAGGGAAGGUAGAGUCACAUGGGGUAACCUCCUCGUGAUCGCUAUAAUGUGGUUCGUUCUCAGUGGGGCGCGUGGUGAGUUGAGCAUGGAUGCCGCGGUGGAUGGCGUGAAGCCUCCACAUACGCUAUGUCUCCAUGGCAACGCGCUCAACAAGCCAUAUGAUAAGAUGCGUGGGUUGACAAUCUCAGACACGGAGGCAGCUGGGAUUCGUCCUCUGCCACCCAGAUUGAGGCGAAUCACUACAUGACCACAAGGACUUAAAAGCACAUUGGGAAUUGGCCAUCCCAAAUUGGGAGAAAAAGGGGGGGGGGGAAUAAAACAAAUUAUAAUAAUAAAUAAUAAAAUAUCAUCUGCGUAAAGCAAAAGCUUAUGCGUUCCCGCCACGACCCCUGGAAAAUCAACCUCUUUUCUUAUCGUGGCUGCUAAUGGUUCCAGGGCAAGACAGAACAAUAAUGGGGAAAGAGGGAAACCCUGACAGGUGCUCCUAUCCAGAGAAAAAUAAUCUGAAACUAAUCCAUUUGUUUGUACCACUGCUACCGGGUGUCUAUAAAGUAAUUUAAUCCAUCCAUUAAAAGUAUUCCCGAACCAUACAUUUCCAAAAUCUUAAAAAGAUAAUCCCAUGAGAACAUGGACACCAUGCGAUGUUCGGAUGUGUGAGCGGCAAGCUCUGUUAGUUUUGACACUACUAAUAUCAUAAACCGGUGAGAUUCGAUACACUGUGUUCCAUAACUGUUCUAGGAGGAUAAUAUGUCAAAGAAUUCAAAAUCCUCAGGCUCUGGAGACAUUAAAAGACACUUACGUGCUCAAGCUGACACCCCCAAGCAGCAGGCUCAGAGACAGGACUCGAUUUGGUCGGGGAAGUGCGGGAAAUUUGGCAAGAAAUGUUGACAUGACGGCAGUGCUGACAUAGGUCGUUGCUGACUUGGAGGAUCUUGCUGUAAUACAUCGAUCGAUCACUGCCAUGGAGACGAAAUUCACUGAGAUGGUUACAAGAGUGGGGGAUGUCAAGAAACGGAUUGAUUAUCUGGAGUCAUUGGAGAGGGAAUUAUCUGCUAAUCCGCUAACGACUAAGGUGGAUUUGGAGCAUGUCUGGGAGAAGUUGGAGGAAUUGGAGAAGUGUAACCGGUGGAAUAACACCCGUAUUGUUGGAAUUCCUGAGGCCGAAGAGGGUCAGGAUAUGGUGAAAUUCCUGGACGGGCUCUUUCAGAGUCUGCUCAACAUAACAGGCCAUAAGCUGUUAUGCUUGGCGAUCCGCUGAGGGAGACAGGCCCAGAUCAAUUAUGGCCAAAGUAAAGGAAGUCUUUCUUGGAAGAACCACAGCAUUUUCUUGUUCCCAGACUUUGCGAAUUUGACAAGAGAGAAACGUGAUUGAUUCAAGGAAUGCAAGAAACAAGUCACGUGGUGCCAUGCGAGGGUCAGAUGUGUGAACGGCGAGCUCUGCACACUUUGCUAGUUUUUAAUUAUUUUUGUAUCAUAAACCAGUGAGAUUUAAUACACCCUGCUACAUAACUGUUCUAAGAGGUCAACAUGUCAAAGAAUUCAAAAUCCUUGGGCUCUGGAGAUAUUAAAUACACUUACGUGCUCAAGCUGAUACUUCAGACAGGCCCGCAGACCAGGGACUCAGUUUGGACGGUGUGGUGGUAGAAAUUCAACACCAGCUGUCCAACAUGUCUGUAAUGCUGAUGAAAGUUGUAGCGGACCUGGAAGUUCUUGCUGUAAUACAUCAAUCGAUUAUGGCAAUGGAGGCGAAAUUCUCUGAGUUGGUUACAAGAAUCGGGGACGUCGAAAAAUAGAUCGAUUGUCUGGAGUCAUCGGAGAGGGAAUUAGCUGCUAAUCCGCUAGCAACCAAGACAGACUUGGAACGCAUUUGGGAAAACUGGAGGAUUUGGAGAAUCAUAAUCAGCGAAACAAUGUCUGAAUUGUUGGAAUUCCUAGAUGAGCUCUUUCUGAGUCUGCUCAAUUAAACAGGCCAUAAGCUGGAAAUCGAGCGAGCUCACAGAGUCCCUGCUCGUAGAUCCCUGGAGGGAGACAGGCCCCGAUAAAUUCUGGCCAAAUUUCUGAGAUCAUCCGAUAAAGAUCUCGUGUUACGCGAGGCGAAGAGCAAAGGAAACCUUUCUUGGAAGAACCACAACAUUUUCUUAUUCCCAGAUUUUUCAAAUUCGACAAGAGAGAAACAUGAUCGAUUCAAGGAAUGCAAGAAACUCUUACAUCAAUGGAAGGUUACUUUUGCGCUGAUGUUCCCGGCCAAAUUGAGAAUAGAUACUAAGGAUGGCCGCAAAGUAUUUACAUGUCCACAGCAAGCAUUGACUUUCAUAGAGACAGUAAACCAUUUGAUGUUUCUUAUGUGGCCCCCAAGUGAGCUUGACUCGUUGAACAUAUACUUGACUGUCUGAGGAAGCUGGUUGCCUUUUUUUGUUUCUUGUUGUGCUGGUUCCACCUAGCGGCUGGAGCUUGUUUUGUGGAAUAACACUCCUUCAGGACAGUUGUGGAUGAAUCUGCUCAUUCUUUGUGCUUAUGCCUCCUAUUGGCUGGAGUUUGUUUUGUGCAGUAUUUUUUGCAGGACAUUGGAAGGAUUAGGGCAUCUGCUGCACUCAUGAACAGCCGGCUCACUAAACAUUCAUUUGACUGUCUGAGGAUGCUGAAGGUUUGUUAUUUAUUAUUUAUUUAUUUUUUAUUUAUAUAUAUAUUUUUUUUUUAUUUGUGUGUGUGUGUGUGUGUGUGUGUGUGUGUUGUGUGUGUGUGUGUGUGUGUUGGUUCCACUAGAGGCUGGAGCUUGUUUUGGAGAGGAACACACCUUCGGGACAGUAUGUGGAUUAAUCUACUCGUUCUUUGUGUUUAUUCUGCCUAUUGGAUGGAGUUUGUUUUAUAGAUUUUAUUCUGUUUCACAAAAUUUGUAUAGAAGCACCGGACUUGAGCAAUCCGAUGGCAAAGCUGUCGUGGGGGCUCUCAUAGGUGUACAUGGACUGUUUAAGUUUAGAGCGAUGGACGUCAGUUGGCACUGUCAUUCGGGGGUUUCGCACAUUUUUCUUUUUUCUGUUUGUUUGGUUGGUUGUUUGAUUGUUGCACUAAUGUUGCAAUGUGGUCUUUAUUAUCUUGUUUUUGACACACAAUCUAUUUUUUCUAAUAUGUCAAAUGUUAAUAUGAGUGGAUUGUCUCUCUCCAUGUGGAAUGUGAAUGGGUUGGGACACCCCAUAAAAAGAAGGAAGGUUAUUACUUUUCUUAAACGUAAGAAAUAUGAUAUUGUGUUUCUUCAAGAAACGCAUCUUUCUCCACAGGAAGCUGAAAAAUUUGGGAAAAUAUGGGGUGGGCAUGUUUUCUUUAGUGCUGGCUCAAGUAAGAGCAGGGGAGUCAUUACAUUGGUAAGUAAGCAUCUACAAUUCAAAUGUCUCAAACAGAUUAAAGAUAAAUUAGGAAGAGUCAUUAUUGUUUUAGCAGAAAUUUAGGGGCAACGGUUGUUUUUGGCUAAUAUUUACGCACCUAACGCUGAUGAUCAGGGCUUUUUUAUAGAUCUUGAAGGGAUGUUGCAAGCCGCUAACACCCCUCAUGAUAUAAUAUUGGGAGGAGACUUUAAUCUUUUGAUGGACUCAGUGCUUGAUCAUAGUAAAGCAAAAGUGCACAAGCCCCCUAGAGCAACACUGACAUUUCACAGGAUGAGUAAAAAUAUUGGUCUUACAGAUAUUUGGAGAUUUUGAAUCCAUCUGCUAGGGACUAUACAUUUUUUUCAUCAGUCCAUAAGAUUUAUUCUAGAAUAGAUUUUUUUUUAAAUAUCUAAGUCCCUCAUUUCAACUGUUGUGGAUUGCUCAAUUGGAAACAUUUUAGUCUCAGAUCCCGCCCAGGUGAGUUUAGAGGUGUUGCCACAUAUGGAGAAAAGGAAGUCAUAUAGUUGGCACUUUAAUGUAUACCUUUUGCAAAAUCCUGAAUUCCAACAAAUGUUAAAGGCUGAAAUCAGUGUUUAUAUGGAGACCAACUGGUCCUCAGUAUCCUCAGUGGCCAUGGCUUGGGAGGCACUUAAGGUGUUCUUAGGGGCCGGAUCAUACAGUAUGCCUCAUUCACUAAAAAAUCCAAAGCACAAGAGCACGUGGAGUUGGAAGGGAACAUUAAAAGUGCCGAGGCAGAGCUGAAGCGGCAAAUGUCGUCUGAUGGCCUCAGAGAAUUGACCCAUAUUGAAAUACAGAUAUAAUACUGUUUUGUCACGGAAGGUGAGUUUUGGCAAUUCAGGGAAAGACAGUCAUACUUUGAGUCAGGGGACAAGGCAGGAAAACUUCUGGCUAGAAAUGUAAAACAGAGAGAGUCUUUUUCUAACAUUCCCUCAGUGAAAUCUGCUGGUGGUGAAAUAUUUACCUCAGCCAUUGAUAUUAAUAAUGCUUUUAAAGAAUUCUAUCUUGAUCUCUAUAGUUCCACGUCUUCGUCUACUGAUGAGGAUAUUAGAAACUUUGUGGAACAAUUAGAACUCCCUAAACUGACGGCUGAGCAAAAAAAAAUUUCUUGAUUCUGAGAUAAACUUGGAGGAGGUUGGCAAGGUAAUUAAGGCCUUGCCUACAAGCAAGGCUUCCGGGGCCAGAUGGCUUUGCCGCUGAAUUUUUUAGAUCUUAUGCUACAGAAUUGGCUCCACUUUUGCUAGAAGUUUAUACGGAAUCAUUAAAGAAUGGAAAGCUUCCCCCAACCAUGACGCAAGCCCAGAUCAGUCUGAUUUUUAAAAAAGGACAAAGAUCCAAGUGAGUGUAAGAGUUACCAUCCAAUUUCCCUGAUCCAGCUAGACGUUAAAAUAUUGUCAAAUUUUGGCUAACCGAUUAAGUAAAGUUGACAUCUCGGUAACACUUUAUUUUGAUGGUCCCAAGUAGAUAUUUAACUGACUAUAAGUGACUUAUCAACUGGCUUGCUAUAGCUAGUAAACAGUGUUUCAACAAACAUUCAGUAGACUAUCAAUAGCCUGUAUAACAGCAGCAAAAUAAUAGCUUAUCGACUGACUUGCUAUAGCUAGUAAGCAGUGUUUCAACAAACAUUCAGUAGACUUUCAGUAGCCUGUAUAUAGAUCUCUAUUAAUGACCUACUUACAUUAUUGUUGAGAACAUCAGUUCAUUAAAAAGUGAAUCUUAUUGAUUCAUAUAGAUAACAAAGAAAAACAAAACAAAUAUACAUAGAAUCAAUGAGCUCAUGCAGAGGAAGUGAUGUUGUUUUCAUUUCCUCAUUUCCACAUCUAGAAAUGUACAAAUGAGAUCAUUUUAUCUCAGUUCCCAUUUACACUAUAAAAUGAUAUGACUUAUCAUGUGCAAGUCAAUUUCAGACAGAUUUGUCUAAAACAAUGACAACUUUAACUAGAUUUUUGACAUUUUCUGAGGAAAAUGUGAGUUGGUUUGCCUGUGCAAAACUCGCUGCCCAAUGCUGGGAUGUUCUGGGUGCUUGAUAGGGUGCACAGGUUGCUAGGGUACUCGGGGUGGUUGAUAGGGUGUUCUGGGUAGUUGCUAGGGUGUUCUGGGUGGUUAAUAGCAUGUUCUGGCUGAUUGCUAGUGUUUUGGGUGGUUGCUAGAAUUUUCUGGGUAGUAGCUAGGGUGUUCUGGGUAGUCGCUAGGGUAUUCUGACUGAUUGCUAGUGUUUUGGGUGGUUGCUAGAGUUUUCUUGGUGAUUGCUAGUGUUUUGGGUGGUUGCAAGAAUGUUCUGUGUGGUAGCUAGGGUGUUCUGGGUGAUUGAUAGAGUGUUCUGGGUAGCUGCUAGGGUGUUCUGGCUGAUUGCUAGUGUUCCGGGUGGUUGCUAGAGUUUUCUGGGUGGUUGCUAGGGUGUUCUGGGUAGUCGCUAGGAUGUUCUGGCUGAUUGCUAGUGUUUUGGGUAGUUGCUAGCGUGUUCUGUGUGGUUUCUAGGGUGUUCUGGAUAGUCACUAGGUUGUUCUGGCUGAUUGCUAGUGUUUUAGGUGGUUGUUAGAGUGUUCUGGGUUGUUGCUAGGGUGUUCGGGGUGGAUGCUGGGGUGUUCUGUGUAGUCGCUAGGGUGUUCUGGGUGGUUGCUAGAGUGUUCUAGGUUGUUGCUAGGGCAUUCUGGGGGGUUUAUAGGGUGUUCUGGGUAGUUGCUAGGGUGUUCUGUGUGGUUGAAAUGGUGUUAUUGUUGGUGAUUGCUGUAGUGUUCUGGGUGGUUGAUAGGGUGUUCUGGGUAGUUGCUAGGGUGUUCUGGGUGGUUAAUAGUGUGUUCUGGCUGAUUGCUAAUGUUUUGGGUGGUUGCUAGAAUUUUCUGGGUGGAUGCUAGGGUGUUCGGAGUGGUUGCUAGGGUGUUCUGACUGAUUGCUAGUGUUUUGGGUGGUUGCUAGAGUUUUCUGGGUGAUUGCUAGUGUUUUGGGUGGUUGCAAGAAUGUUCUGUGUGGUUGCUAGGGUGUUCUGGGUGGUUGAUAGGAUGUUCUGGGUAGCUGCUAGGGUGUUCUGGCUGAUUGCUAGUGCUCCGGGUGGUUGCAAGAAUGUUCUGUGUGGUUGCUAGGGUGUUCUGGGUAGUUGUUAGGGUGUUCUGAGUCUGACUGAUUGCUAGUGUUUUAGGUGGUUGCAAGAGUGUUCUGUGUAGUUGCUAGGGUGUUCGAGGUUUUUGCUAGGGUUUUCUGGCUGAUUGCUAGUGUUAUAGGUGGUUGCUAGAGUGUUCUGGGGUUGUUGCUAGGGUGUUCUGGGUGAUUGCUAGAGUGUUCUAGGUGAUUGCUAGGGUGUUAUUAUGGGUGGUUGCUGGGGUGUUAUUAUGGGUGAUUGCUAGGUUGUUCUGGGUGGUUGCUAGGGUGUUCUGACUGAUUGCUAGUGUUUUGGGUGUUUGCAAGAGAGUUCUAUGUGGUUACUAGGGUGUUAUGGGUGGUUGAUAGGGUGUUUUUGGUGGUUGCUAGGGUGUUCAGGGUGAUUGAUAGGGUUUUCUGGGUAGUUGUUAGGGUGUUCUGACUGAUUGCAACUGUUCUGUGUAGUUGCUUGGGUGUUAUGUGUGAUUUCUAGAGUGUUUUGGGUGCUUGAUAGGGUGUUCUGGGUAGUUGCUAGGGUGUUAUGGGUGAUUGCUAGAUUGUUUUGGGUGGUUGCUAGGAUGUCUGGGUGGUUGCUUACAAGCUCCAAUUAAUAGAGCCCACACCCAAAUCUCUAUGAUAUUCUGGUCCCUACAUGUGGACCAAGUGUCUCUUUCAAAAUAAAUCUUUGAAAUAUUUUUGUCUGCCAUACUGAAAAUUGUAAGUCCGAUCACUUAGAAAAGUAAUCGCAUACCUCUCCUCAACAAACUGCACAAUUAAAGGCAUGGUUUAUGAUGGUUUAUACGCCUAUGUUUAAAACUUAUGAGCAAUAAUAAUAAUAGAGAUGCCUGCCUUAACAAGCAACACAAAUGUUUUGACAGUUUCAUUGAGUGCUGAAGCAAUGCAAAAUUCUAUGUAUUCAUGAGCAAACUGUGUGAAAGAACUUAAUCAUGGCUAGACCUUACAAUACUUGAAUUGUCACCAUUAAACAAGGAAAUGAAGACUUGAUAGUUAUAGAAAAGUGUGCAGAGAGAAGUGGUGGGAGGGAAUGGUGUUCUAAAUGGAAUAUAUUUAGCCAAAACGGCAGAGGGGGAGGUGCUAUUAAGAGUUUACUUCAGUGCGGUUUGUAGACACUGACUGUGAAAAAGAGAGAAGGAAAAACUGUGAUGUAUAAACAGUAGUAGGGAUCUGAUGUAACAUAUUGCAAUAGGGCCACACACACACACACACACACACACACACACACACACACACACACACACACACACAUUCGUACAUACUGUAAUUGCUGCAAAUUAAAAAAUGCUCACACUGAUUUUACACAUAACGAGCAACAUAAAGAGAAAUAAACACUUGGCAGCUGUAAAUUCGAUACUAUUAAUGGCUGUACAGAGCAUGCAAUGUACGCAACAGUAACGGUUAAUACCCUGAGGACUCUACAAGCCGUCAGAGUGCUACAGAGUGCAGCAGCCACAGUGACGCCAUUGUGGUUCAAAACGCACUUCCUGUCUGCUGCCACAAUGUUUGUGUUUCAUGUUGCCAUAGCAACUGCCAACACAUAAAUACCAGUGAAAAGAGAGAGAGAGAGAAACAGAGAAAAUCGAGGACAAACCCAUAUGACUAGCUGGAAUGAAAAAGCAAAUACAUUCAAACUGGCUUUGUGUGUGUGUGUUUGUGUGUGUGUGUGCAUGGAUUAGCAGUGGCCCCUGAAUAAUAGUAGGACUACCUGUAUUUUCCAUAGGGUUUUACUGCCAAUACCAAAAAACUCCAAUAAAUAUAUACAGUAUAACUUUUUAUAUGUAAAUGUUACUUCGCUUCACGUUUAACUAUGAAUAGCAUUUUGUAAAUUGAUAAACACUAGUCAUGUAAGGUGUACACCUGGGCCAACCUGUGCAAGGUAUAAAUCCAUAAGGGUGUAUCAACUGGCCACACCUUAACAUUCAAUCUUUAUGAAUCUUGCAAGUAAUGGGAAUUAUAUUGUUACAUGCAGAAUGUAUACAAUAUAAUUUUUCAGAAGCAGCAUCAGUAUAAAAAGUAGCAAAAGUGUAUAGUAAAAUAUAGUAUAUUAAAGUAUAGUAUAAUAUAGAAUGGUACAUUAUGGUAUGUUACAGUGGGGUGUAUUGUAUAGUAUAGUAUAGUAUAGUAUAGUAUAGUAAAGUAUUUUGGAAAUGAGUAUACCACAUGGUAGUAUAGUAUCUAGAAUGUUAUAAUACAGCAAAGUACUAUAGCAGUGCCUAUUGUAUAGUAUAUUAUAGUACAAUAUAGCACUAUAGUAAUGUAUAUUGUACAGCAUAAAGUAUUGUUUAUGCUAUAGAAUAAUAUAGCACUGCAGUAGUAUAUAUAUAUAUAUAUUUGUAUAUUAUAGUAGUAUAUAUUGAAUAGCAUAUAGUAUAGUACAGUAUAGCACUAUAUUAGUACGUAUUGUACAGUAUAGUAUUAUAGUAUUAUAUAAUUUAGUGCAGAAGGACAAAGACAGUAUAUUCAUUUAUAGUAAAUUUUAGUGUAGUACAGUACAUUGUUGUCUAUCUUUUUCUAUAGUGUUAAAUGGUAUAGUAUAGUAUAGUAUAGUAUAGUAUAGUAUAGUAUAGUAUAGUAUAGUAUAGUAUAGUAUAUUUGAUACACUUACAAAGAGAGAGACCAAACACACCAGACAGAGGGGUGAGACACUGACUGGAAGAGCUCUUAAAAUGAAACAGGAAUAAAGAGCUAGAUGUGUGUACGUGUUCGCGUGUGUGUGUCUGUGUGUGUGUGGAUGUGUGUGUUAGGAGGAAAAAAGUCUCUCUCUUUUAUGAGCUGUUGUGCAGUGUAAUUGCUCUGCGUCUUCCUGUCUUUCAGACUCAUAGAGUGAAGGCAGGCUCAACAUCUGACGUUAUACAAAUAGGAAUUCCCUUCACUGGUCUCUCUCGCUGUGCGUUCAUUCACUCUCACCCUGUCUGGCCCCCAGACGAACUCUCUCUCUCUCUCUCUCUCUCUCUCUCUCUGUCUCCUAUAUAAACACUCUUAGCGUCUAUACUGGAGUCGGGCACUCCCUCUGAGAAACAACUGCUGGAAGGUUCAACCUAGGCUUUAUACGGAUGAAUGAAAGAAAUAUAACAAACCAUUCAGUGGGCUGGUCUCCUGUGCCUGCUGUGCUGAUAAUCAGUGGAUGGCUGCAGCUGGCUCAGUUCAGCAGGAACAGGGGCCUGGUCUUCUCUCUGUGGCCUUCUGCUCCUUCACAUACACUGUGAUAACACAGAGAGAGGACUUUACAUACUGGAGCUGAACAAUUCACGUGACAGGUAUGAAAACCGUAGGACAUAAAUCCACAAAUGAACUGUUUAUAAUGCUAAAAACAGAAACUUUCACAUUUCCUUUGCUAUAAAAAUAGUUAAAUAAUCUGUUAAAUUAUGUACAUUUUUCUAUUUUAUUUUGUAACUACAGAUAUUGUCUGUUAUAACACUAUGGAUAAAUUAUUUUUAGAAAUUGUUUGGUGUCUUGCCUACUUGAUACACAGUUCAACAAUUGUUGCUGACAUAACAAUAGAGAAAAGAGAAUCAAAUUCAAAAUAUAUUUUUUGAAAUAUUUACAUAUAUUUAUUAACAUAAUACAUAUAUUUUUGUAUAUACUGUAUAUUUUAUAUAUUUAUUAUCUAUAAAUAUUUGGCAACCAUACAGCUAGUUUGUGAGCCACUCCCACAGCUGUUAUGUUUUCACUGAUGGCCAAGACUAUAUAUUGUGCAUCUUUGUACCGGGGAAUUGUACCCUGACGAAGGCUUUCUUAGCCAAAACACGUUGGCCAUUUUAGAUGUUGUAGCCCGGUUAAAUAAAGGCUUUUUAAUUCA